Molecule: ribosomal RNA, 429 nt
Filed under: Gemmatimonadota bacterium
Lineage: Bacteria; Pseudomonadati; Gemmatimonadota
Description: Gemmatimonadetes bacterium partial 16S ribosomal RNA
Rfam family: Bacterial small subunit ribosomal RNA
Source: RNAcentral
UAGGGAAUCUUCGGCAAUGGACGAAAGUCUGACCGAGCAACGCCGCGUGAGUGAAGAAGGUUUGCGGAUCGUAAAACUCUGUUGUUAGAGAAGAACAAGGACGUUAGUAACUGAACGUCCCCUGACGGUAUCUAACCAGAAAGCCACGGCUAACUACGUGCCAGCAGCCGCGGUAAUACGUAGGUGGCAAGCGUUGUCCGGAUUUAUUGGGCGUAAAGCGAGCGCAGGCGGUUUCUUAAGUCUGAUGUGAAAGCCCCCGGCUCAACCGGGGAGGGUCAUUGGAAACUGGGAGACUUGAGUGCAGAAGAGGAGAGUGGAAUUCCAUGUGUAGCGGUGAAAUGCGUAGAUAUAUGGAGGAACACCAGUGGCGAAGGCGGCUCUCUGGUCUGUAACUGACGCUGAGGCUCGAAAGCGUGGGGAGCACACAGG